Long non-coding RNA from Passer montanus (Eurasian tree sparrow), 1502 nucleotides. RefSeq lists it as uncharacterized. Lineage: Eukaryota; Metazoa; Chordata; Aves; Passeriformes; Passeridae. The transcript has 3 exons. The record is from RefSeq and is a predicted model, not a curated record.
UGUGUGUGUCACCUUUGCUCUUUGCCCACAGGAAUCACCUGCAGUUGUUGCUCAUGUUGAAGAUGCUCUUGGCACAGUGAUGACUACAAAGUAUUAACAUAUAGGGAGCUCCAUCCUCUCAGAGCAUGUCAUAUUGCUUUUCUAUCUCCCAAUUGUGAUUGCAUUUUGUCAAGUCUCAUUCAUUCCCUGACAUCUGCAGCUGGAUCUUCCCUGUUAGCUCCCCAGCAGUAGUUCCAGUCCUUCACACUUAGUGUCAAUUCCAAGUUCCAUUCAAACCCUGAUUUAUGGGGAUAAUUAGCAGAGCUAAUAAAUCAGAUGAAACUAAGAUGUCUGUGAUAACCCAUUACACAGCUCCACUCCCAUAUCCAAAUGUGGCUCUUUAUCAUCCCAUCAGUGGCCUGUCUGAGACCCCACAAGAGAGAACCCAUGCCCAAGGCACAAGAUGCUGAAGGUAAAGGAGAACCUGCCCUCCUCAGGCGCAUCUGGGCAGAUCCCAAUCAGUCCAAAGAGAAAGUUCAUAUUCCUAAAUGGAUCUUGCUGAUCUUCUCUCUCCACAGACCCUCAUUUUGACAGGGAGAAGCCAAGAGUGAAGAAGGCAGAUCCCAGUCCUGAUGGAAACCAUUCUGAAAUUCCAUGGACCCGUCCCUGCACAGCAUGUGAGGAGACCCAUCCAUGCUCCUUGUCCAGUGUUUUUGGGACCAGAAAGGCUGCCAGAACUGAACCCUCACCACGUUCCCUUAUGGGAACUGGCUCAGGGUCAGUUCCAGGGAAAUUUGAGGUCCCUUUUUAAAUACAGGUGUUUUCUGACCCACAAGGAGCAAAACCCAUUUUCCCUGGUACUUUGAUACUCAGGUUUCUCAACUUCUCUUCUCAAAACCUUUCUGCUAUUGAGCAUUUUCUUCCAUGUCUUUCAAAUUCUCAUACCAGCUCACUCCAUGGUCUUCCUUAUGUAAUUCCAGCUAUGUGGCUACGUGUCUUUCUGGAUUUGUAUCCUCCACAUCCACCAUGUGCAGCUGGGUGUUGUCCAUCCCACCGGCCAAAGGAUGAGCCUGCAGCUCCAGAACCACUCUCCUUUUUCUUCAGGCACAUUUUACAGCCAAGCCAUUGAAACCACGAGCUCCCACCCUCCCCACGUGGGCCCAAGGCCAGCACAGGGCAAAGCUCAGUCAGGGAGUGCUGCAGCAAGGAGCAAUUUGAUCCUUGAUCAUACAAACUGCUGAAUGGCCUUUGCUGUGAGAUGAUGAACCUGAUUAAUUUGACAUCAUCCCUGGGCAUUUUCAUCCCAUAAGAGACAGUCGGGAGCUGCUGCUGAUGGGGGAUGUUCUCCUUCUGUGCCAGUGUGCCCUGACCAACUCCUGCUUCUCCUCUUGCUCCCUACAAUCCUCCUGAGGUCAACAAGGCAAAAUUUCCCCAUUAUUUCACAGAAAAGCCACAGCUGCUGGUGGGAUGGAAACCUCACUCAGCAGCCCUUUUGCUGGGAAGGUAAUUUGGUCUUUAAAACU